AUUGAACGCUGGCGGCAGGCCUAACACAUGCAAGUCGAGCGAACCUAGCUUGCUAGGUGAGCGGCGAACGGGUGAGUAACGCGUAGGAAUCUGCCCGAUAGUGGGGGACAACGUCUCGAAAGGGACGCUAAUACCGCAUACGCCCUACGGGGGAAAGCAGGGGAUCUUCGGACCUUGCGCUAUCGGAUGAGCCUGCGUCGGAUUAGCUAGUUGGCGGGGUAAAGGCCCACCAAGGCGACGAUCCGUAGCUGGUCUGAGAGGAUGAUCAGCCACACCGGAACUGAGACACGGUCCGGACUCCUACGGGAGGCAGCAGUGGGGAAUAUUGGACAAUGGGGGCAACCCUGAUCCAGCCAUGCCGCGUGUGUGAAGAAGGCCUUCGGGUUGUAAAGCACUUUAAGGGGGGAGGAAGGUUCGUUGGCUAAUAUCCAACGGAAUUGACGCUACCCCCAGAAUAAGCACCGGCUAACUCCGUGCCAGCCGCCGCCGUAA
This 492-nucleotide ribosomal RNA is filed under the name uncultured bacterium. Its description in RNAcentral is "partial 16S ribosomal RNA". It matches the Rfam family "Bacterial small subunit ribosomal RNA", at positions 29 to 523 of the family's 1533-position model. The record is from RNAcentral.